Molecule: ribosomal RNA, 492 nt
Filed under: uncultured bacterium
Lineage: Bacteria
Description: partial 16S ribosomal RNA
Rfam family: Bacterial small subunit ribosomal RNA
Source: RNAcentral
AGUGAACACUGGCGGUAGGCCUAACACAUGCAAGUCGAACGGCAGCACAGUAAGAGCUUGCUCUUACGGGUGGCGAGUGGCGGACGGGUGAGGAAUACAUCGGAAUCUACUUUUUCGUGGGGGAUAACGUAGGGAAACUUACGCUAAUACCGCAUACGACCUACGGGUGAAAGCAGGGGAUCUUCGGACCUUGCGCGAUUGAAUGAGCCGAUGUCGGAUUAGCUAGUUGGCGGGGUAAAGGCCCACCAAGGCGACGAUCCGUAGCUGGUCUGAGAGGAUGAUCAGCCACACUGGAACUGAGACACGGUCCAGACUCCUACGGGAGGCAGCAGUGGGGAAUAUUGGACAAUGGGCGCAAGCCUGAUCCAGCCAUACCGCGUGGGUGAAGAAGGCCUUCGGGUUGUGAAGCCCUUUUGUUGGGAAAGAAAAGCAGCAGGUUAAUACCCCGCUGUUCUGACGGUACCCAAAGAAUAAGCACCGGCUAACUUCGUG